UUAAUUAUUUAGUCAUUUCAACAAAUAUCUAGAACGGAUAGCAGAGCAUCUAAGCAAUAAGAACUAAAAAGAUGAUACAUUUAUCUAAAAAUAUGAAAAUUGAAUUUUGGGAUCGAUUAUGUUUGCCAAAAGAGAGGGUCAGAAUUAGUGUAUUUUGAGCAAAUAAACAUAGGUACCAAAUAGAAUCUCAUAUAGUAUCGUGUGUAGUCGAUAAAUGGUAAAGACUUUUGUAAGCAGACCAAUUUGCCCGGCCCAUUGCAAACACAAAACAAUAAAUAUAAAACCCAAAUAAAACUUAAAUCCUAUAACAGUCCAUUUACAGGUUUUGACCCAAACUAAUACCCUAUACAAGCCCAAAUCAACCCAUUUACAAAUAAGCCCGAGCCCAAAUACAAUAGGCCUAAGUGGCCCAAAAUUUAAAGCAAGCAAAAAACUCUAGCCUAAUGCUUGCGCCGCAACCGGACAAUGCCUCCAUACGAUGCCAACGUCUCAACCCCAACGCCGCUCGUGCCUCUACGUCGACAGCCCCGUACGCCACCCUCACGCCUAGUGCCAGCACACGCCCCGUACCUGCGAAAGAGAACAAGAGAAUAGCAGUAGAAUAGCAGCCAAUAGGAGAACAAAAAUUGUUGUUUUUUUUUGUUUUGUUAUUCAGCUAUAAAGCCUUUCAUUUUCGAUUGUAAGGGCUCCUCUUUUUUACGAACAUAAGCAAUACAAAGCAACAGAGAGAAAAUGUGAUUUCUACUCUUGAGUUUCUGGGUUUAUCACGCUUUAUUCUCGAUUUAUUCCCUUUGAUUUUCUUUCUCUUUUCUUGUAUCUAAAAAUAAAAGAAUAAAGGGAAACAAGACCUUACCUUGUAAGUUAGCCAUCGUUUCCCCUUCGCUUCGUUGAAAUCGAAGUCCAAAUGGGGUCUCAAGGCUGAAAAAUCACUCCUUUGGAGUUCGAAUGCGCAGAUCGCCGUUCAUGGUGGCGCAUAAAUGACGAAGGGAGAAUUCUGGGGGUUAAAAGGACAGCAAAAGGGGGUAGGCUAAUGUCCUGCUAGGGUUCGGCUGAAUGAAUCCACAUUUAGCCUUUUAAAGAAGCAAAAACGGCGCCGUUUAGGCCAAAUGUAAUGGCCAAAAAACAACGUCGUUUGAAACUAUGCCCGGUGACCCGACCCAAUGGCCCCUGGGAUCCGCGCGUUUUCGCGGUGAGGGGUUAAUUGCGCAUUAAAUCCCUUCCCUUUUGCGCCGCGUUUAAAUCAGCCCACCUGUGCUUCUUUUUGUUUUGUUUUUUUAAUUUUCUCCUAUAAUUUGCGCUAUUUUGCAAUCGAGUCCGCGCUUGUGCGCAGCGUUUUAGGACCUGGAUUAAUUCUAGCUUGAGCCCCUAUGUUUUGUGCGCUUCGCACUUCGGUCCUCUUUUUGUUUUGUUUUCAAAUUAUCUUUUUGUUUUGGAUUGAUUCUAAUUAAAUCCCUUUAGUUUAUAGUCCUAUUUUGUUCUUAAUUUAUUAUUUUUAAUUUUUAAACAACUUUAGGGAAUUGUUAUUUCAUUAUUGUAAAUCAUUUUUUUGAUGUUAAUAUCACACUUUGUAUACUUUAAAUGAUUAUCUCCUUUAUAUUAUUAUACAUAUACACAUUUUGUAGCAAAGUUAACGUAUUUUCACGCAUAUAAUAUUUUUUAUUUUUUUAUUUUAACCAUGUAUUUUAACAUAUAAUUUCGUUAUGAUAAUAUGUUUUGUAUAAAAUUAUUUUCAUAUACUUAUUUAUAUUAGUACAUAUAUUUGAUUUAUAUACAUUAAUUUAAUCCUAUACAUAUUACCGUUUUUAUGUUAUUUUGCAUGUACUCACUUUUUAAUUUAUAUGUAUAUAUAUAUUAAUACACUCAUUACUCUAAUAGAUUUUUCUACUCAAAACACUUUUGCUUUAUGAUUUCUCAAGUAUUUUCUUUAUAUAUAUGUAUAUGGAAUAAUUUUAGAAACCUCAUUUUUGUAAUUAUAAAAUUAUUAUUUUUGGAUGUUCCUUUGUAUUAAAUUACUUUGUGUUUUAUAUAGCCCCUUAUUUAAACAUUUUGAUAUAAAGGUAUGUAUAUAAUUUUUAGACUAACUUAAAGUUUUUAUAUAUUAUUAUUAAUCUAAUGAUUAUUUUCAAAGCUAUUUAUAUGUACAUAUGUUUUAUGAAUAUAUUUUGUGUAUUAUGUUUUGUUAUAUAUCUUCAUUAUUCUUCUGUAUUAUAUACUAUGUAAAUUAUCAUGUACUUUGUCAACUUCUAAAUGAAUUUGUGCCUAAAAUAUUUCACACGCAAUUUGAUUUAAACUCUCGUUCUGAUAUCUAUUUCAAAAAAUAUAUAUUUAUCCCUAGUUUUUUUUUUCAUAUACAAAUUUGUCAACCUAUAUUUUAUGCAUCCAUUUAUGCGUCGUUACUUUAAAAUAGUUUUAUACCUCAUUACUUCUUUGAUUUGCAUUUUGUUUUGUGUAUCUCAUAUUAUGUCAUGCACAUUGUCGCUGCAUAUUGUAUUCAUUGUUUUAUAUUGUCAUGUUAAUUAUAUUCCAUGCAUGAUUGAAAUUGAAUAAUAUUUCCAAGCUAGAUAUGCUUAGUCAUUUAAGUUCUCGUUAGUUGGUUAAAUAACUUGUAUUGCCUCCACUCUUCUAUUGUCGUGUUUUAUGCGUACACAUAUUCCCCAAAUCAUGGUUUUCCACUUGAUUUUUGAAAUGUGGUUUUAUAAAAAGCAAAUUUUAUGAUUAAUUUCGUCUUAUUUCAAAUCGAAUUAAUGCGUUUUAAGCUAGUUUCACAACUAUUAAAAAUCCCUUAAAUGAAGGCGAUAUGCGAUAUUUGGUAAUUCGCGGAAUCGUGCCCUAACGUGUUGGGCUGCAAUUUCUCGUUUGCUUAAAGUAAUCAAAUAUCCCUUCAAAAUUUCACCCAUGUCUUCUUAAAACCCUUUAAAAUGAAGGCAAUACUCGGUGUUUGAUAAUUCGGGAAUCAUGCCCUAUCAUGCUGGGUUGUGGUUUCUCGUUUGUUCAAAACAAUCGAAAUUCUUUUAGGUUUUCACUCAUGUUUAUUAAAAACCUUCUAAAACGAAGGCGAUCUUAGAUGUUUGGCGAUUUGAGAAUCGUGCCUUAUCGUGCUGGGUUGCGCAUUUUCGUUCGUUCAAAAUAAUCGAAGAUCCCUUUGGAAUUUCACUCUCAUUUUCUAAAAACUCUUUAAAACGGAAGAAAUGUUCGAUGUUUGGCAAUUCGUGGAAUAGCGCCAUAUCGUGUUGGAUUGCAAUCUCUCGUUUGUUCAAAAUAAUCGAAUAUCUCUUUCGGAAUUUCACUCGUAUUUUUUAAGGUGAGGCAAUGGUCAAUGAUUGGAAAUUUGAGGAAUCGUGCCCUAUUGUGCUGGGUUUCGGUUUUUCGUUGGACGAAAUAGUUGAGCAUCCUUUUGUGAUUUUCGAAUCAUAAAUUUUUGGACGUCGAAACAAGAAGAUUUUUGGCAAUCAACUUGAGUUAUUCAAAUGUUAUUAAAAAAGAACCACAUUUCAAAAAACAUUUUUAAUUUUAGACAUAAGGACAGUACUUAACCGAUUUGGUACCAAUUUUGGGCGGAGUGAGGGUGCUAAUUCUUCCUCAUACGUAACCGACUCCUGAGCUCGUUUUCUCAUAUUUUCGUAGACCAGAACUGUUGUUUUAGUAAACAAAAAAUGUUUUAUUAAAAUAACCAAAUUCUUAGGUGAUCCGAUCACACAAAAACAAAAAGAUCGGUGGCGACUCCAUAUUUCUAUUUUUCAAAAGUCGAUUCCCAUAAUUUUUAAAACCUAAAUUUUUUUAAUAAAAAUGGUGGUUUCGACAGCUUGGCGACUCCGAUGGGGACUUGAGAGUCGAGCCAUAAAAUCGAUUAUUUACUGUCCUUUUGUCAAAAACUGAAAUUUAUUUUAAAAAAUCAUGAUUGCAUUCGUUUGUAUGAUUGUUAUGGUUCGGAUCUCGUAGAAUAGUACCGCAUUUCAUUGCAUGACCGCUGUGGUCACACCUUCUAAGUGGGAGUAAGAAACUACGCUUUCGUGAGGUUUUCACCUCCGCAUGGGCUAGUGGAUUGCUUCCAGGGUACAUCCGUACCUAUGAUUUCGUGAGAUUUUCAUCUCCGCAUGGUCAUAGGGAAAUGUAUCCCCCUGAACCGAACUCGAUCUAUAUGAGCAUAUAAUGGGUGAGGAUUGAGGAAUCGGCUGGUUCGGGUACCUUGUCUCUAGAACCGAACCACAUAUAGUGAACCUUAGGAGCUAUCCUUGGGUGGAGCCGCAUCGAGCCUUAGUACUUACCCGUAUAUGCAUUGUAAUUAUCAUUUAUGUGCUUAUCGCUAUUAUUUGAUACUAACCUGUGUUUUGUUUUGAUUAUUUUUUGCAUGACAUUGCAUACUAAAUGAGGUGUUAAUUCGUAUUCAAUUACCAAGUUAGAAAGUUUGACAUGGAGAAUGAAUUUCUUAGUAAAGUCGAGGAUAAUGCGGCCGUUCGUGCAUGGUCAGAGAAGCUACAAUCAGAAAAAGGGGAUAGCUUGGUAGAAGGAUAUAUAUCAGAGUUGCAGGAUUUCACUCGUGUCAAUGUAACACAGAAUGAGCUGCAAGAGUUGAGAAAUAUUUGGGCUAGUUGGGAUGAAGAGACCAAGCAGAUGUUUUAUCAAAGCUACGGAGACAUAUCCUACUUGCUAGACAUUAGAGUGGAUAAGCAUCUAUUCCGAGUUAUUGUUCAGUUUUGGAAUUCUGCUUACAAGUGUUUCACUUUUGGGGAAGUGGACUUAGUACCUACCAUGGAGGAAUACACUACCCUGCUUAAGUGUCUGAAAAUUUAGGUCAGAAAGACUUAUGCUCAGAUUUUUAGUAGUCAAACUUUCAUAAAGAAAUUGAUGAGCAUUUCAGGGAUGAGCAAGCCUUAGGUCACUGCUCGAAUUCAACAAAAAAGAGAUAGUAAAUGUAUCUCUUGGGAGAAUUUGUUAGAUUUGAUCUUGACGCAUCCAAAUGAAAGAAAGAGGAUCAACAUCUUCGCCUUAAGCAUCUACGGAUUGGUAAUUUUUCCUAAGGCUUUGAGGUACGUAGACGAGGCAGUCAUUGACUUAUUCGAUUGCCUUGACAAGGGAAUCAUGCCGGUACCGGCAAUAUUGGCAGAAACGUUCAGAUCUUUGAGCUCAUGUCGGAAGACAGGCGAUGGACGGUUUAUUGGAUGUGCACAAUUACUGAUAGUAUGGUUUCAUGGGCACUUUUGGAAGGUAGACAAGGUUUCUUAUCGGGUCUUUUCUGAAGGUUACUCCCCGCUGAAAGAGGAGGCAGCUAUACAAAGGAGAGAGGAUAUCUCGGAGGAGUGGAUGGAAGUUCUUCAAAACCUCAAGGAGGGAGAUAUCGAGUGGAUAGCUUAUUGGAUGGUUUCUGAUGAGAUCAUGUAUCGAUGUGGUAACUUUGAUUGGGUACCGUUGUUAGGAAUUUGGGGAGCUACCGGGUAUACUCUAUUACUUGCGUUGAGGCAAUAUAAGUCGAGGCAGUUUGUACCCACGACCUACGGACUUGCUCAGAGUAAAUUCUCUUUUAAAUGUGCUCACUAUAAGAAAAAGAGUUCGGAGCUUGGGAAGAAGAUCGAACAAUUGGAGGAAGAGAAGAUGCACUUAAGAUUAGACGCUGAUAUCCAGAGGUCAGAGGCUGAAAAGUGGAGAAAAGGGAAAACUAAGGCCAAAGAAGAUCUAAACAGCUUGAAGACUGACUAUAAGAAGCUACGCCUAUCUAUGAGGACUGCGGGGUUAGGUAAGGCUUCAAAACAAUGGCGCCAUGAAAUUUGAGAAGAAAAGGCCAAUGCCAACCUGUGGGAAAGGAAAUUCCGAGAAGCUCAGGCAUGAAACGAAGAUUUAGAGAAGAGUCUGUUGGAAAGCAGAAAUGAGCGAGGUGAAUUAAGGGCUAGAGUGGCAGAACUCAAGAAGUCUCUGCAUCAGUAUCGAAACCGCAACACCGCAAUGAAAUUGAGAGCAAGCUUAAGCAAGAUAGAAGAAAUGAAAGGAAUAAUAGAAGAAUUAGAGGCAUUACUGCAAAACUGCGAGAUGCAGAUUUAGUUUUUCGAGGCAAAUGAGGACCGUUGGAAAGAGCAGCUUCACCAUGCGCAAGACCAGGUCAGAAACAGAUAUUACCUUAUGGGGGAAGCCAUAACCCAGAUUCAGGAGGUAGCUGACUACUUGCAAGCUUUAGCGGUACAGGCAGACACACUGAGCGUGAAGUAUGAGUUGGAGUCGGAUCGCGGACAAGAGCUGACCUUGUUGCUUAGAAAAAUUAAGACUUUGAGUGUUAGAGCGAAAUUUUAUCUGUAACUCAAUUUUAUGUAAAAGAUUUUAUUUUUAAGUGAAAUUUUCUAAAGGCAAUUGAAUUAAAUUUGAUGCCUCAUUUGUAUUCAUGCAUUUGCAUUACAUCAUAUCAUUAUGCAUUAAAGGCCAUAAGAGGUUUCUAAUUAAUUAAUUAAAAAUCAUUUCAGUAACCUGGAAACCAACGAAAACCAACCAACCACGCACCCCUACGGUACAAGAAAAAAAUCAAUGGAUAAGAGACUCGAGAAAUUGGAGCAAAUGCAAAAGGACAUGCAGGAACAAAUGCAGUCUUAGAUGCAAGAGCAACUAGCCAAGAUUCAGCGAGAGAUGAAGGAACAAAUGAUGGAAUCCCAAAGGGAAAUGAUGAGUCAGUUAUCCCAAUUGCUGUUGGGAGGAACGGAUAAGGGAAAUGGCCCCAUAGACAAAGUCGAGGAAACUAAUGAAGAUCUUCAAUACCCUCCCGGCUUCAUUCCGACACAUGUACCGAUGAAGCCCGAGAUUAAUCUACAAAAAUUAUCUGUCACGAUCAUGCCCCAACAGGUUCAAGCUGGAGCUUCAAUAUCGAUGAACUUCUAAACUGGCUCAGGCUUUAACUUUGUCAACAACCCGAACUAUCCGCCAGUUCCCGAUUUGGAUGAAGUUGCUGACAAAAAAAAUGCGAGGAUGGAUUCGCAAAAACAAUUGGAAGAACGGUGUAGAUGGCUCAAGGAGAAAUUCAAAGCCUUGGAAAGCGCAGAUCAUCAUCAAGGGAUUGAUGCCAAAGACCUGAGUCUGGUCCUAGAUUUAGUCCUUUCCCCUAAAUUCAAAAUGCCCGAAUUCGAGAAAUACAAUUGAACAAUCUACCCUAAAGCCCACAUCACUAUGUUCUGUAGGUGAAUGACGGGGUACGUUAACAAUGACCAGCAAUUAAUCCACUGCUUUCAAGAUAGUCUGGUCGGGGCGGGGUCUAAGUGGUAUAACCAAUUAAGUCGCUCUAAAAUUAACUCGUGGAAGGACCUGGCUCAGGCCUUUAUGAAGCAAUACAAUCAUGUGAUGGACAUGACCCCCGACAGAAUCACACUCCAGAACAUGGAGAAGAAAUCAAAUGAAAGCUUCAGACAGUACGCACAAAGAUGAAGAGAGGUGGCCAUACAAGUUCAGCCGUCACUUCUAGAAAAGGAGAUGACGAUACUCUUUAUUAACACAUUGAAAGCCCCUUUUAUCACUCAUAUGUUGGGAAGCGCCACCAAGAGCUUCUCUGACAUAGUGAUGACAGGGGAAAUGAUCAAAAAUGCUAUUAGAAGCGGUAAGAUAGAAUCAAAAGAGAGUGCCAGGAAGUCGACCCCGAGGAAAAGAGAUAAUGAAGUGAACAACACGAGCACAUUCAACAAGAAUCAGUCUAAGCCACUUACCGUAAAUCAGCCAAAGACGGUAGCCACCAAUCAACGUAGCUCCGUAAUACAAGAACUUAACGCGAGGGAGAACACAGAAAGGCCAUAAUUCACCACUAUACCCAUGACAUAUAGAGAGCUCUACCAGAACCUGUUCAUCGCUCACGUAGUAUCCCCUUUCUACAUGAAGCCACUGCAGCCCCCGUAUCCCAAAUGGUAUAACACAAACGCCCAAUGUGAAUACCACGCGAGAAUUACCGGGCACUCAAUCAAAAAUUGCACUACAUUCAAGAAAGUAGUCGAAAGACUCAUUAAGAUGGGGAUCGUGAGGUUUGACAACCCAACUGUACCCAACAUAGCAGGAAACCCGCUCCCCAAACAUACCGACCAGGGAGUGAAUGGGAUAAGCGAAGGCAAAAACAAUAAGAUCAAGUGUGAGGUUGCGGAAGUCAGGACUCCGUUGAGACGAGUGUGGAGGGAGAUGGUCAAGAGAAAUUUGAUCGCGUUAGAUUUGAGUAGAGAAUCCAAAGAAGAGAGGAACUACUGCGAGUUCCACAAUAAGGUGGGGCAUGAAAUCCAAGAGUGUGUGGAGUUCAGGGCCCUCGUGCAGAACAUGAUAGAUAAUAAAGAAAUAGAGUUUUAUCAAGAAGCUAAAAACCUGGGAGAGGGAGAUAUAUGUGCGUCGGAGGGAGAAUCGACGGCACAGAAUCAAACAGCUAACUAUCCCGUUGUUAUCAUAUCAAAACCUAAAAAUAAUAAAGUUGGAGUACAAAUGCCACCGAGGGCCAUAAUCUAAAGACCUGCAGUCUUCCCCUACAAAGACAUCAAAAAGGUCCCAUGGUAUUAUGAUUGUAACGUGACGAUUUCAGGGAAGAAAAGCCUGGUGGAUGCUUCAAAAGAGGGUUAAGACAGGGGCUCCUAUACACGUAGCGGGAGACGUUACGAUACAGUAAAUGAGGAGGCACAACCUACAAAAGGAAAAGCUCCAGUGGUCGAGGAAAUGAAAGAAAAAGCAACCAAAACUGUUAACGAGCCAGUUAACAAAGAGGAGGCCAAGGAGUUUUUAAAAUUCCUAGCGAAUAUAGUGUGGUGGAACAGCUACGUAAACAACCGGCUCGUAUCUCGAUGCUGGCCUUACUUCUAAGCUCGGAAGUUCAUCGCAGCGCGUUGAUGAAGGUCUUAAAUGAGACAUAUGUUACCAACGAUAUCUUUGUUAGCAAGCUAGACCGUUUGGUUUGCAACAUAAGUGCUGAAAACUAUAUCUUUUUCAAUGACGACGAGAUACCACCCGGUGGCAUGGGGUCGACUAAAGCCUUGCACAUUACCAUGCGCUGCAAAGGGUAUACACUGCCAGACGUACUGAUUGACAACGAAUCGACUUUGAACGUCCUGCCAUUGACCACGCUAAACAGAUUACCCAUAGACAACUCUCACAUGAAGGAGUGUCAGAACAUAGUGAAGGCAUUCGAUGGCACGGAGAGAAAGGUGAUGGGCAGAAUCAAGAUACCUUUUCAGAUCGGGCCAAACACAUAUGAUGUGGACUUCCUAGUAAUGGAUAUCAAGCCCUCAUACAACUGCCUAUUGGGAAGGCCCUAGAUACAUUCAGCUGGGGCAGUGCCUUCAUCGUUGCAUCAAAAGUUGAAACUGGUAUCAGAGAGGCGGUUGAUAACAAUCAAUGCUGAAGAGGAUAUCAUUGCAACUGUGAGUAAUAACGCGCCCUAUUUGGAGACAGAUGAUGAAGCAACCGAAUGCUAGUUUCAAUCUUUGAAAUUUGUUAAUGCGACAUUUAUCGUCGAGGGAAGAAAGAUUCCAGUGCCAACAUUGUCCAAAACUACAAAGAUGAGUCUACGGUUGAUGGUUGGAAAAGGGGCUCUACCUGGAAGAGGACUUGGGAGACAUCUCCAAUGAAUGGUUGGAACGCCAGUAUUGAAGGAGAAGAGAGACCGCUUUGGCUUAGGAUUUAAGCCAGAUGUAAGACAAAUGAGAAAAGAGUUGGAAAAGAAGCAAGAGAGAAAGAGAGCACGGUUGACGGGGGAGGAAAUCAAAUGGGAACCAAUGAUAUUCCCCCACAUAUUGAAAACCUUUGUGUCUGGAGGAAUCAUUCAUCCUGAGAGAGGUACGACAAUGAAGGGAGCCAUAGAAGAAAGGCUAGAAAGCUUAGACAUCAACGUCACGUACGACGAAGAGGCUAGAGGAGAAAAUUUGUCAGGCAUUUGUCCUUACACACUUGGAAAUAUUCUGAAUAACUGGACUGCGGAAGAGAUUCCUAUAGUUUUUAGAACUAAUUCAGAGUAAUGUCUAAAACAUACUUAUUGCUCUAGGCCUAGGAGUAAUAAGAAUCUUUUGUGAAAUAGGCUGAUGUUUAAAAACGUUAUUUCAAUGAAAUGCACGGUUAUUAUCAUUCUUGAGCGAAUGUUCUCUCAUUUUUAAUCAUGUUAUACUAACAAUUACUCCCGAAUUCUUUUAUUCUUUAAACAUUCUUCUAAAUAUUCUUUCAUUCGUCAUUCGUAAUCAUACCAUACUGAUAAAUGUUUUUGAAUUCUUUUGAUUCUUUGUAUCUGUCGUCAUCCUCAUAACAGGUCCCCAGAUAUUAAUGAUACGAGUGACACUGCUAGUGAUUCAGAAUUUCCUUUUGAGCGAGAUGUGUGUAUGGAGGAUUUUCAGGAUUUUGAGGAUAACCAAGGCUGUAACCUAUCUCCUGAUUUGUUGAGAAUGGUAGAACAAGACGAGAAACAAAUCCUUCCUCACAAAGAAUCAGUAGAAAUUGUGAGCUUGGGAGAGGGACAAGAAGUAAAGAUCGGAACGUUAUCACCAUGGAGAUGAAGCGAGACCUCAUUGAAUUGCUUCAAGAAUUCAAAUACGUCUUCGCAUGGUCAUACCAAGAUAUGUCCGAGUUGGACACUGACAUCGUGGUGCACCGACUCCCCAUAAAGGAAGAAUGUAAGCCAGUUCAGCAAAAACUCCAAAGAAUGAGGCCCGAUGUCCUGCUAAAAAUAAAAGAAGAGGUUCGCAAGCAGUUCGACGCUGGAUUCCUAAAGGUCGUAAAAUACUCAGAUUGGGUAGCCAACAUCGUCUCCGUCCCCCAAAAAGAUGAAAAAGUACGAAUGUGUGUGGACUACAGAGAUUUGAACAAAGCCAGCCCGAAGGACAAUUUCCCACUACCUCAUAUUGACAUCCUAGUGGACAACACGGUAGGACACUAACUGUUUUCAUUCAUGGAUGGUUUCUCCGGAUAUAACCAGAUCAAGAUGCAUCCUGAAUACAUGGAGAAGACCAUAUUUGUAACCAUGUGGGGCACGUUCUGCUACAAAGCAAUGCCAUUUGGAUUGAAAAACGCAGGGGCAACAUAUCAAAGGGUCAUGGUAACCCUGUUUCACGACAUGAUGCAUAAAGAAAUCGAAGUUUAUGUCGAUGAUAUGAUCGCAAAGUCUCGAACCGAGAAGGAGCACGUACAAGUCCUGAGGAAAUUGUUCUUGAGGUUGAGGAAGUUUCAACUAAAACUCAACCCAACCAAAUGUACUUUCGGAGCCAAGUUCGAAAAACUACUCAGAUUCGUGGUCAGUGAGAAAAGGGAUUGAGAUCGAUCCAGACAAAGUCAAAGCCAUACAAGAGCUAUCUCUGCCGCGUACCAGAAAGAGGUUCGAGGUUUUCUAGGAAGAUUAAAUUACAGUGCUCGGUUCAUUUCACAACUGACCGAGAAAUGUGACCCUGUCUUUCACCUCCUCAAGAAACACAACCCAGGUGUAUGGGAUGAAGAAUGCCAAAAGACUUUCGACAAGCAGUACUUAUCCAAUGCUCCAGUGCUAAUCCCACCUAACCCCGAUAAGCCAUUGAUACUGUAUCUGGCAGUAUUUAAAAAUUCUAUCAAAUGCGUACUGGGUCAGCAUGAUGAGUCAGGAAGGAAAGAAAAUGCUAUUUACUAUAUUAGUAAAAAGUUCACGGAAUGUGAGACAAGGUACCUACCGAUAGAGAUGCUGUGUUGUGCCCUAAUUUGGACAACCCGAAGGCUGAGGCAGUAUAUGUUGUAUCACACCACUUGGCUCAUCUCAAAACUGGACCCUUUAAAGUACAUGAUGGAGUCAACAACUUUGAAUGGAAGGAUGGCCCGAUGGCAGAUUCUGCUUUCCGAAUUUGACAUAGUUUAUGUGAAUCAGAAAGUAGUAAAAGGGAGUGCAAUAGCAGAUUUCCUGGCCAGUAGAGCUUUGGAAGACUACGAGCCUUUGAACUUCGAUUUCCCGAAUAAAGACCUGAUGUGUGUUGCGACCGUUGAAGAAGGUGAUUCGAAAGAACUUCCCUGGAAACUAAACUUCGAUGAGGCAUCAAAUGUUUUGGGUAAUAGAAUCGGGGCAGUCUUGGUAUCCCCAAACGGAGAUCAUUAUCUAUUCACUAGUAAAUUGGAUUUUGAUUGUAUGAAUAACAUGGCGGAAUACGAAGCGUGCAUCAUGGGUAUCCUUGCAGCUAUAGAACGCAAGAUUAAAGUGCUAGAAGUGUAUGUGGAUUCUGCGUUAGUGAUUUAUCAACUCAAGAGAGAAUGGGAGACCAGAGACCCCAAGUUGAUCGACUAUCAGAAAUUGGUUAUUGAAUUGGUUAAAGAGUUUGAUGACAUUGCCUUUUUCUACCUUCCACGUGACGAAAAUUAGAUGGCCGAUGCUUUGUCCACAUUAGCUUCCAUGAUCAAGGUGAACAAACAAGAAGAUGUCAAACCCAUCCGGAUGAGUAUUUAUGAAAAUCUGGCUCACUGUUAUAAUAUUGAAGAGGAUGAAGAAAAAGAUGAUCACCUCUGGUAUCACGAUAUAUUGCAAUACGUAAAGAAUCGUGAGUACCAGGACCAGGCAAGCGAGAAUGACAAAAGGACGCUGAGAAGAUUGGCCAUCGACUAUGUCUUAGAUGGGGAGAUCCUAUACAAAAGAAGAAAGGAUCAAGUGCUGUUAAGAUGUGUAGAUAUUGUAGAAGCUAAGAAAAUCUUGGAAGAAGUCCAUGAAGGCGUCUGUGGGACACACGCUAAUGGCUUUACAAUGGCUAGGCAAAUUAUAAGAUUUGGGUACUAUUGGUCCACUAUGGAAGGGGACUGUGUCGAUUACGCCAAGAGAUGCCAUAAGUGCCAAAUCUACGGAGACAAAAUUCAUGUGCCUCCUUCACCACUACAUGUCAUGGUUUCCCCAUGGCCUUUCUCUAUGUGGGGUAUGGAUGUGAUUAGACCAAUAUCGCCGAAGGCUUCCAACGGACAUCGAUUCAUCUUUGUGGUUAUUGACUACUUCACCAAAUGGGUAGAGGCUGCUUCGUAUGCUAGUGUUACAAAGUCGACAGUGAGUAAAUUUCUGAAAAAAAAGAUCAUAUGUCAAUAUGGAAUGCCGGAGAGGAUCAUAUCUGACAGUGCAUUAAACCUGAACAAUAGUACGAUAGUGGAAGUCUGUAGUCAAUUCAAGAUCAGACACCACAACUCGUCACCAUAUCGCCUGAAGAUGAAUGGGGCAGUGGAAGCAGCCAAUAAAAACAUUAAGAAGAUUGUGAGGAAGAUGACCGAGACCUACAGAGAUUUGGCAUGAGAAGUUACCAUUUGCCCUCUUCGCUUAUUGAACGUCAGUCAGAACCUCAACUGGGUCAACCCCUUUUUCUUUGAUCUACGGAAUAGAAGCGGUUUUGCCAAUCGAAGUCGAAAUCCCAUCCCUUCGAGUGUUUUCGGAGUUAAAGUUGGAUGAAGCAGAAUGAAUCCAGUCUCAAUACGAUCAAUUGAACUUAAUCGAGGAAAAGAGACUAAAAGCUAUUCGUCAUGGUCAAAUGUACCAAAGACGGAUGAUGCGAACUUAUGACAAUAAGGUUUGCCUUAGAGAAUUUCACAAGGGAGACCUGGUUUUGAAAAAGAUCCUUCCAAUACAGAAGGAUUUUUGAGGAAAAUGGAUGCCUAACUGGGAGGGGCCUUACGUGGUGAAGAAAGCUUUCUCCGGAGGAGCAUCAAUUCUAGCCGAAAUGGAUGGUAAAAACCUGCCCCAUCUCCUAAAUUCGGAUUCCGUAAAGAAGUAAUUUGCUUAAAAAGGAAAGGACAAGGUGAAAACCCGCAAAGGUCGCUUUGAGACCAAAUAAAAAAUAAAAAAAUGGAGAGGCCAAGGUGAAAACCAGCAAAAGGGUACUUUGAGACCAAAGGGGUUUUUGAGUUGAAAACCCGAAAGCGGGCAGCUCAAAUUUUGAAUGUGGGGCGUGUGGUAGUCUUGUUUUCCCGAAAUUAAUAAGAGGGAAUAACAGUACAUCUUGGAGCAUCAAUAAAAUACGCGGGAUCUCCUGAACACAAAUUUGGUUCGAAUAAGCCUUUAAGAAAUUGGAAUAGUGAAACUCGUGCUGCGAUAUCUGGGGCACCUCUUUUCUCAUUUUGUUUUAUGCCUUAGUAGAUUUGCUAUCCUGUUUAAUGUAUCCACUUUGAGUUUCGCUCAAUAAAAUUCCAUUCUAUCCAAUAUGAUAAUCUUUUCCGAGCAUUUUUGUUGAAAUCACGAUUUUUGGAUUUAUAAUAUUUACAUAAAAGAUGUUAUGCAUAUUACUCUGGAAAGUCUCUAAAUAGUACAAGGACCUGAAACAGGGCCACUAGUCAGGACUAACUAGGUUCAAAAGUUGGAAACAUUCGAAAAAGAAUAGUCCUAAUUGUGACUAUUCAUUUAAAUUUUCUAUCAAAGAUAACGGCUAAGCAAGAGGGCGUGAUAGCACAUCAAUGAUAGAACCCGAAUAACUAUGAACAAUGAUACCUUAAGCGUUUAAAAAGGAAUUACUUUUAUGACAUUUCUACAUUCAUAAUCAUUCAUUUAGUUAGAAGCACUUGAUUUAUUUCGAUCAUAGCAUUUUAAUUAUUUGACAUAAACACCACAUUUAGUUAGGGGCAUUUGAUUCAUUUUGAUCAUGGCACCCUAAUUAUUUGGCAUACACAAAUACAGGAAACCAAUUCUACAAAUCAUGUCUUUAGGAGAUAGUGUAGCGACAUUGGUAAAUUCUACAGAUCUCGUUUCCCUGAAGUUGCAGUGAAAUAGAUCGAAGACGGAAAAUCAUGGCUUCCUAAAGUUGCAAUGAAGCAGAUUUAAGCCACCGACCUAGCUCCUUAAAGUUGUAGUGGAGUAGGCUCAAAUUUUAGAUCUUGUUUCCCUAAAGUUGCAGUGGAGCAGAUCAAAGACGGUGAAUCUAGUCUUCCUGAAGUUACAGUGAAGCAGAUUCAAUGUAACACCCCUAACCCGUCUCCGUCGCCGAAUCAGGGUUACGAGGCAUUACAAAACCAAGCUCACAUAAACAUAACUUUAAUAUCUAAUUCCAAAUGCAAGUCCAAUUCAUGAACAUAUAUAAUCAAAUUCAAGCAUGGAAACUAAACUCUUUUCACAUUGCUAUUUACACAAUAGGAUUCAAAACUAACCAAAACAUUAUCAAGCCUAUACAUGCCAUAAGAUCGAGUUCAAAUAUUUAACAAAAUACCAAAAGAAGUUGAUAGUGUGAUGGACUGUGCUGAUGAUCCCCGAGCUCGUAACGCGUCUCCAAAUCUAUAAAAAUGAAUGAACGAAAGCAAACGAAGUAAGCUUUUAUAGCUUAGUAAGUCUCCAGCAUAACUAAAUGUAUAAUUAUAAACACAUAAUUAUUAUAACCUUUUUAAUCUAUUCUACUGAAAUUUUAACUAACACAACCAACUAACAUUCAUACAUUAUUCUACUCAGACCAUUUCAUUUAUAGUCAGAUAUGUAUACUUGUCGGAUGAAUUCAGUUUAAUAUAUAUAUUAUACAAAACAACAUUACAAUUGAAUGUAUACCACCGAGCAUAUAUAUACAUAUUAUAUACAUAUCAAACCGAUUGUAUAUGUACACUCAUGGUAAGUUCUAAAUCAAUUCAAAUCUAACACAAAUAUAUAUACAUCAAUCACAUCUUAUAUUUGUUUGUAUAUAAAUAUACUCAUUAUGAAUUUAUACCUGAAUACCUAGGUAACACAUACAUUCGAAAUAUACACAUAUAUAUAUCUCAAAUGCAUACAUGAUUAAUUAUCAAACACAUAGGCUCAACAUAUAUAUGUUUAACUACCACAUAUCACCAUAUGCAUUUAUAAAUUCAGCAAUCACAUAUAUCUAAUGUACAUAUGUAUUCAUCGAUUUCAUAAAAUCACAAAUCAUAGAUAUAUCCAUUGCAUAUUCUAACACAAUUUAAACAGAUUCACCGGCAUUUUGCCUGCUAGGCUUAAAGCCUGAUUCAGUACACCGGCACUUAGCCUGCUAGACAUAUAGUCUGAAAUGUAUCACCGGCAUUAAGCCUGCUAGACAUAUAGUCUGAAAUGUAUCACCGGCAUUAAGCCUGCUAGACUUAAAGUCUGAAAUGUAUCACCGGCAUUAAGCCUGCUAGACUUAAAGUCUGAAAUGUAUCACCGGCAUUAAGCCUGCUAGACUUAAAGUCUGAAUUACUUCACCGGCAUUAAGCCUGCUAGACGUAACGUCUGUAUUACAUUCAAUCACUUUAUAAUAAUUCAAACUAACAAUUUCAUAUCUUCACUACCAUUCAAAAACUUUUACGUGAAUAUACAUACAAAAUCGAAACUUUCACAUACAUAUAUAAUUCCAUACCAAAUUUCGAUUCAAGAAUUUAUACAUGUGCAUUUAUACAUAUUCGAAUCUACCAUAUGAAUGUAUAAUUUCAUACUCAAUUUCAAAACAAAAACUUGUACAUAUAUAAAUGCACAAUCAAUCCUCGCAUACUUAUAUAAUGACAUAACUAAAUUCAAUACACAACACAUACAUGUAUACUUGCAUGCUUAUUCGACUUUAUAUAUAUAUAUAUACAUACUUAUAUAAUCAUUCAAACCAUAUAUAUAUAUACCUAUAUCUUAUACAUACCUUUGAUUAAUCCAAUAAUUUAUACAAGAUCAUACUUGUAUAUUCGAACAUGUUAUAUACAAUAUCUAUAGUCCAAAGUUUAUUCAACUAUUAUACUUUAAAUUAUAGCUCAAUCAUAAGAUAAAAUUAGUAUGCAUGUAUAAAUAUUAACUUAAUAACUUUUAGUUGCUAAUAGACUUACCUCGGAUAUCAGCAAACACGAUCGACUAUUCGAUUUCCUUCGACUUCCCCCGAUCCAAAUUCGUUUUCUUCGUUCCUUGAUCUAAACAUAGUCAAAUUUAACCUUUUUAUUCAUCAAAACAUUCAUUUGAGUCCAACAAUACAUAAAUGGGAAAAUUACCAUUUUGCCCCUAACAUUUUGCACUUUUUGCAAUUUAGUCCUUUUUGCACAAAACACAAAAUACACAAAAUUUGCCCUUAACACACAAGGGCCGAAUAUUCAUGGUUCUCAUACAAGUCCACACAUUGCAUUUAUUUCACAUUUUAGUCCCUCAAAAAUUUAUUUUCACAAUUUAGCCCUAAAUACUCAAAUUCAUCAAAAAUCCCAAGACAAAACAUGUUAAUCUAAGACAUAUCUUCCAUUAUUCAUCAUCAAACAUCACAAAACACAAAUAUUCAUCAAUGGCAUAACUCAAAAUAUUCAUUAAAAUUAGAAAUUCAAGCAUGGGUCGGGUAGUAUUCAAAGCAACGAUCUCAAAAACGUAAAAAGUAUCAAAAAUCGAAACCAAAGCAUACCUUAAUUUUGCUAUGAAAGUGCCGAAACUUAAGAAACCAUGGAUGGUUUCUUCCUUUCCAAUAUUCGGCUAACAAAGAUGAACAUAUUCAUCUUUUUAUGACUUAUUUUAGUUAUAAUAUUAUAAUUUACUUAAUGACUAAAUUAACCUUAAUUAAAUAAAUUAUAAAUUACAUAACUUAAGGGCAAUGUUGGCAUAUACCACCCACUAACUAAAUCUUGGUCUAAUUACAUCUUUAGACCUCCCACUUAAAAAGACAACUACAAAUAGGUGCUUUUAAAUUUUAACCUUUAACUUUUAUUUUACGCGAUUAAACCCUUUUAUUAAAUCGGACACUUAAACGACGAAAUUAAAACACGAAAAUUUUACACAAUCAAGUGCACACGAAAUAAACACACAAAAUAAUAUUAAUAAUAUUUUUCUAAUUCAAAUUUGUGGUCCCGAAACCACUAUUCUGAUUAGGGUCAAAACCGGGUUGUUACAACUCUCCCCCCUUAGGGAUUUUCGUCCCCGAAAAUCUUACCGGUGAAUAGGUUUGGAUAACGCUCCUUCAUUGUAUCCUCUGACUCCCAAGUUGCUUCUUCAACUCCGUGUUUAUGCCACAAUACUUUAACUAACGGAAUUUUCUUAUUUCGUAAUUCAUUGAUCUCACGAGCCAGAAUGCUAAUCGGUUCUUCUUCAUAUGACAUAUCAGGGUUAAUUUCAAUCUCCGUCGGACAAAUCACAUGUGAAGGAUCAGAUCGGUAUCUACGGAGCAUCGAAACAUGAAAUACAUUGUGAAUCUUUUCUAACUCAGGUGGUAACAUCAAUCUAUAAGCAACCGGUCCGACACGUUCUAUAAUCUCAUACGGUCCAAUGAAUCUUGGACUCAAUUUGCCUUUACGACCGAAUCUGAGUACUUUCUUCCACGGUGAGACUUUCAAAAACACUUUAUCGCCGAUCUGAAAUUCUAUAUCUUUUCUUCUCAAAUCCGCAUAAGAUUUCUGACGAUCUGAUGCUGAUUUCAGGCUGUCCCGAAUCACUUUCACUUUCUGUUCGGUCUCUUUAACCAAAUCAACCCCGUGUAUCCUAUUUUCACUGAGCUCGGUCCAAUACAGUGGUGUACGACAUUUACGACCGUACAAAGCCUCAUAAGGUGCCAUUUUAAUACUAGAUUGAAAGCUGUUAUUAUAAGCAAAUUCAAUCAAAGGUAAAUAUCGUUCCCACGUACCUUCAAACUCGAGAAUGCAACAUCUCAACAUGUCCUCAAGUAUCUGUAUAAUUCGCUCCGAUUGACCAUCUAUUUGCGGAUGGAAAGCUGUGCUAAAAUGUAGUUUCGUACCUAAUGCAUCUUGUAAUUUCUUCCAAAACCGCGAUGUAAAUCUCUUGUCUCUGUCCGAAAUAAUAGAAAUAGGCACUCCGCGCAAUUUUACAAUCUGAGAAAUGUACAAUUCAGCAAGUUUAUCAAGCGAAUAAUCAAUACGAACCGGAAUAAAGUGAGCCGAUUUUGUCAAUCUAUCAACAACAACCCAAAUUGCAUCUUUCUUGCUGGGUGUUAACGGUAAACCGGAUACAAAAUCCAUCGUAACUCUGUCCCAUUUCCAUUCAGGUAUCAUGAUCGGCUGCAGCAAUCCAGAAGGUACCUAAUGCUCGGCUUUUACUUGCUGACAUAUUAAACAUUUCGAAACAAAGUCAGAAAUGUCUCGUUUCAUUCCAUGCCACCAAUAGUGUUGUUUCAGAUCAUUAUACAUUUUCGUGCUACCCGGAUGAAUAGAAAAUCGACUAUUAUGGGCUUCAUUCAAAAUCAUCUGAAUUAACUCUGGAUUUUUCGGAACACAUAAUCGGUUUCUGAAUCUCAAACAAUCCUCAGUAUCAACUAGAAACUCUGAAUCAACAUUUAAGUCACACUGAGUUCGUUUUGCAAUUAAAUCAUCAUCGGCUUUUUAAGCUUCACAAAUCUGUUGAACAAAUAACGGUUUUGCUUUCAACUCAGCUACUAUCGCACCAUCAUCAGACAUAACCAUAUGUGCAUUCAUUGCACGCAAAGCAAACAGUGAUUUUCGACUUAGGGCAUCAGCAACAACAUUAGCCUUUCCCGGAUGAUAGUCAAUCACGAGCUCGUAAUCUUUCAACAAUUCUAACCAUCGACGCUGUCUCAAAUUCAGAUCUUUCUGAGUCAUCAAAUAUUUCAAGCUUUUAUGAUCGGAAUAAACAUGACAUCUUUCGCCAAACAGAUAGUGACGCCAUAUUUUUAACGCAAAUACAAUAGCGGCCAAUUCCAGAUCAUGCGUCGGAUAGUUCUUUUCAUGCGGCUUUAACUGUCUCGAGGCAUAGGCUACAACUUUGCCUUCCUGCAUCAAUACACAGCCCAAACCAUUUAAAGAUGCAUCACUAUAGAUAACAAACUCUUUACCCGAUUCGGGUUGAACUAGGACUGGAGCUUUGGUUAAAAGAGCUUUCAACUGAUCGAAACUUUUCUGGCACUUUUCUGACCACUCAAACUUAACGUCUUUUUGUAGUAACCUUGUCAUCGGGGUCGCAAUCAUAGAGAACCCUUUCACAAAACGUCUAUAAUAGCCAGCGAGCCCCAGAAAGCUUCGAACUUCCGAAACAUUCCUCGGAGGUUUCCAAUCAAGUAUAGCUGAAAUUUUACUCGGAUCAACCCAAAUACCCGAUGCUGAAACAACAUGGCCCAGAAAACUGACUUCACGUAACCAGAACUCACAUUUACUAAACUUUGCAUACAACUGCUUAUCUCGCAAAGUUUGUAACACAAGUCUCAGAUGUUCAGCAUGCUCAUUUUCGUCUCGAGAGUAGAUCAAAAUGUCAUCAAUAAAUACUACCACAAACCGAUCCAGAUACUUCCUAAAGAUCCGAUUCAUCAAGUCCAUGAAAAUAGCAGGUGCAUUAGUAAGUCCGAAAGGCAUAACAAGAAACUCAUAAUGUCCGUACCUCGUUCGGAAAGCAGUCUUUGGCACAUCAGAGUCUUUAACUCGCAACUGAUAGUAGCCUGAUCUCAGAUCUAUCUUUGAAAACACAGUAGCCCCUUUCAACUGAUCGAACAAAUCAUCAAUCCGUGGUAACGGAUACUUAUUCUUUAUAGUCACUUUAUUGAGUUACCGGUAAUCAAUGCACAUUCUCAUCGUUCCGUCUUUCUUUCUCACAAAUAGAACUGGUGCACCCCAAGGAGAGAAACUCGGUCGUGCAAAACCUUUAUCAGUCAGCUCUUGCAACUGUACUUUCAAUUCUUUUAAUUCGGUCGGUGCCAUACGGUACGGAGCUAUCGAUAUGGGAGUCGUCCCUGGUACUAACUCAAUACCAAACUCUACCUCUCGAAUAGGUGGCAAACCCGGUAAUUCUUCGGGAAACACGUCUGAAUACUCACACACUACUAGUACAGAUUCAAUCUUCUUUUCGGUCACUUUACUAUCAAGAACAAAUGCAAGGUAAGCUUCACAACCCCUUCUCACAUACUUCUGAGCCGACAUCGAGGAUAUUAUUGCUGAUAAACCAUUCAGAUCAUUAGAUUCGAUCCGAAUAAUCUCAUCAUUCUGACACCGUAGAUCAAUAGUUUUCCGUUUGCAGUUUACAAUAGCAUCAUGCAGAGUUAACCAAUCCAUACCCAGAAUUAUAUCGAACUCGUCGAAUGGUAACAACAUCAAAUCAGCUGGAAAACAUAAAUCUCGAAUCAUCAACGGACAAUUCUUGCACACUUUGUCAACCAAAACACACCGGCCCAGGGGGUUCGAUACUUUAAUUACAAACUCAGUAGACUCAACAGGCAAAGUCUUACUGAAUACUAAAGUCUCACACACAUAAGAAUGAGUCGAACCAGGAUCAAUCAAUGCAAUAACAUUAGUAUCAUAAAGAGUGAAAGUACCAGUAAUAACAUCUGGAGAAGAAGCCUCCUCUCGAGCACGGAUGGCAUAAGCUCUGGCAGGUGCACGGGCCUCAGAUCGAAUUGCUGUGUCCCUGGUUCCUCUCUGACUACCACUUACAUUACUCAAUUGUCUCGGCGGUCUACCUCGGACUGGCACAUUACUCGGUCUGGUAUCCUGCACAGUGUUUUGCUCAGCUACCAUCGGACACUCUCGAAUGAAAUGAUCUUUUGAACCACACUUGAAGCAAGACCGAUCAUGGAAUCUGCAAUCCCCAGGAUGCCAUUUCCCACAAUGCUUGCACUCUGAUCUAUUUUGUCGAACACUACCAACGCUAGCAACUGAAGUAGCUCGUGAACUCACAGGGGGUCGAUCUCGAUCAUACUUAGGAAACCCUGCAGUAGCUUUAGAUUGGCUAUGAUCCGCUCUGAAUUUCCUUGAGGUCGACUGAAAUGAUUUACUGAAUGAUCUUUUACGAGAAUCUCGAGCUUCAUAGUCAGCUUUCCUCUUCUCUUUCCCGAGCUCCUCAGCUUUACAAGCUCGUUCCACAAGUACUACGAACUCUUUUAUCUCAAGUAUACCAACUAACAGUUUAAUAUCUUCGUUCAGCCCAUCUUCAAAUCUUCUACACAUGAUAGCUUCAGUUGAAACACACUCUCGAGCAUAUCUACUAAGCCUCACAAAUUUCCGUUCAUAUUCUGUCACUGUCAUACGACCCUGUUUCAGUUCAAGAAAUUCCUUACGUUUCUGAUCAAUAAAUCUCUGGCUGAUGUAUUUCUUACGAAACUCAGUCUGAAAGAAUUCCCAGGUCACUCGCUCUUUCAGAACCACCGAUGCUAGUGUAUUCCACCAGUGAUAUGCAGUGUCCCGUAGCAAGGAUAUGGCACAUUUCAAGCACUCAUCAGGGGUGCAAGACAACUCAUCAAACACUCGAAUAGUAUUAUCAAGCCAGAAUUCAGCUCGCUCAGCAUCAUCAUCAUCAGUAGCUCUGAACUCUUCGGCCCCGUGUUUUCGAAUUUUGUCAACCAGAGGCUUAAGUAAUCUCAUCGGAUCACUUACUUGGGGUAUAACAGGAAUCGAAGAUGGAUUAGUCGGGGGUGGAGGUUGUUGUGUAACCGGAUUAGUUCGGACAUAAUGAGUAAACCAGUCAUUCAUCAUUUGGUAGAAGGCUUGUUUAGCCUCUCCCUCCUGGUUACUCGAGGUCGGUCGAGAAUCUACCGGCUCUGUCCCUUGUGCGGGAGCAGGCGCUAUACUCUCAACAUCAUCGGCUACGGCUCGAUCGGGAUCCAUUACUAUACGAAAACACAUUUUUAGACAUCAGCAGUCAUCACACUAUCUCGAUAUAAAAAUUAUGGCAUGUAUAGCUAGACUCAUACAUGCUACGUUAGUCCAAGAAUCGACUAAACCGUAGCUCUGAUACCAAUAAAAUGUAACACCCCUAACCCGUCUCCGUCGCCGAAUCAGGGUUACGAGGCAUUACGAAACCAAGCUCACAUAAACAUAACUUUAAUAUCUAAUUCCAAAUGCAAGUCCAAUUCAUGAACAUAUAUAAUCAAAUUCAAGCAUGGAAACUAAACUCUUUUCACAUUGCUAUUUACACAAUAGGAUUCAAAACUAACCAAAACAUUAUCAAGCCUAUACAUGCCAUAAGAUCGAGUUCAAAUAUUUAACAAAAUACCAAAAGAAGUUGAUAGUGUGAUGGACUGUGCUGAUGAUCCCCGAGCUCGUAACGCGUCUCCAAAUCUAUAAAAACGAAUGAACGAAAGCAAACGAAGUAAGCUUUUAUAGCUUAGUAAGUAUCCAGCAUAACUAAAUGUAUAAUUAUAAACACAUAAUUAUUAUAACCUUUUUAAUCUAUUCUACUGAAAUUUUAACUAACACAACCAACUAACAUUCAUACAUUAUUCUACUCAGACCAUUUCAUUUAUAGUCAGAUAUGUAUACUUGUCGGAUGAAUUCAGUUUAAUAUAUAUAUUAUACAAAACAACAUUACAAUUGAAUGUAUACCACCGAGCAUAUAUAUACAUAUUAUAUACAUAUCAAACCGAUUGUAUAUGUACACUCAUGGUAAGUUCUAAAUCAAUUCAAAUCUAACACAAAUAUAUAUACAUCAAUCACAUCUUAUAUUUGUUUGUAUAUAAAUAUACUCAUUAUGAAUUUAUACCUGAAUACCUAGGUAACACAUACAUUCGAAAUAUACACAUAUAUAUAUCUCAAAUGCAUACAUGAUUAAUUAUCAAACACAUAGGCUCAACAUAUAUAUGUUUAACUACCACAUAUCACCAUACGCAUUUAUAAAUUCAGCAAUCACAUAUAUCUAAUGUACAUAUGUAUUCAUCGAUUUCAUAAAAUCACAAAUCAUAGAUAUAUCCAUUGCAUAUUCUAACACAAUUUAAACAGAUUCACCGGCAUUUUGCCUGCUAGGCUUAAAGCCUGAUUCAGUACACCGGCACUUAGCCUGCUAGACAUAUAGUCUGAAAUGUAUCACCGGCAUUAAGCCUGCUAGACAUAUAGUCUGAAAUGUAUCACCGGCAUUAAGCCUGCUAGACUUAAAGUCUGAAAUGUAUCACCGGCAUUAAGCCUGCUAGACUUAAAGUCUGAAUUACUUCACCGGCAUUAAGCCUGCUAGACGUAACGUCUGUAUUACAUUCAAUCACUUUAUAAUAAUUCAAACUAACAAUUUCAUAUCUUCACUACCAUUCAAAAACUUUUACGUGAAUAUACAUACAAAAUCGAAACUUUCACAUACAUAUAUAAUUCCAUACCAAAUUUCGAUUCAAGAAUUUAUACAUGUGCAUUUAUACAUAUUCGAAUCUACCAUAUGAAUGUAUAAUUUCAUACUCAAUUUCAAAACAAAAACUUGUACAUAUAUAAAUGCACAAUCAAUCCUCGCAUACUUAUAUAAUGACAUAACUAAAUUCAAUACACAACACAUACAUGUAUACUUGCAUGCUUAUUCGACUUUAUAUAUAUAUAUAUAUACAUACUUAUAUAAUCAUUCAAACCAUAUAUAUAUACCUAUAUCUUAUACAUACCUUUGAUUAAUCCAAUAAUUUAUACAAGAUCAUACUUGUAUAUUCGAACAUGUUAUAUACAAUAUCUAUAGUCCAAAGUUUAUUCAACUAUUAUACUUUAAAUUAUAGCUCAAUCAUAAGAUAAAAUUAGUAUGCAUGUAUAAAUAUUAACUUAAUAACUUUUAGUUGCUAAUAGACUUACCUCGGAUAUCAGCAAACACGAUCGACUAUUCGAUUUCCUUCGACUUCCCCCGAUCCAAAUUCGUUUUCUUCGUUCCUUGAUCUAAACAUAGUCAAAUUUAACCUUUUUAUUCAUCAAAACAUUCAUUUGAGUCCAACAAUACAUAAAUGGGAAAAUUACCAUUUUGCCCCUAACAUUUUGCACUUUUUGCAAUUUAGUCCUUUUUGCACAAAACACAAAAUACACAAAAUUUGCCCUUAACACACAAGGGACGAAUAUUCAUGGUUCUCAUACAAGUCCACACAUUGCAUUUAUUUCACAUUUUAGUCCCUCAAAAAUUUAUUUUCACAAUUUAGCCCUAAAUACUCAAAUUCAUCAAAAAUCCCAAGACAAAACAUGUUAAUCUAAGACAUAUCUUCCAUUAUUCAUCAUCAAACAUCACAAAACACAAAUAUUCAUCAAUGGCAUAACUCAAAAUAUUCAUUAAAAUUAGAAAUUCAAGCAUGGGUCGGGUAGUAUUCAAAGCAACGAUCUCAAAAACGUAAAAAUUAUCAAAAACCGAAACCAAAGCAUACCUUAAUUUUGCUAUGAAAGUGCCGAAACUUAAGAAACCAUGGAUGGUUUCUUCCUUUCCAAUAUUCGGCUAACAAAGAUGAACAUAUUCAUCUUUUUAUGACUUAUUUUAGUUAUAAUAUUAUAAUUUACUUAAUGACUAAAUUAACCUUAAUUAAAUAAAUUAUAAAUUACAUAACUUAAGGGCAAUGUUGGCAUAUACCACCCACUAACUAAAUCUUGGUCUAAUUACAUCUUUAGACCUCCCACUUAAAAAGACAACUACAAAUAGGUGCUUUUAAAUUUUAACCUUUAACUUUUAUUUUACGCGAUUAAACCCUUUUAUUAAAUCGGACACUUAAACGACGAAAUUAAAACACGAAAAUUUUACACAAUCAAAUGCACACGAAAUAAACACACAAAAUAAUAUUAAUAAUAUUUUUCUAAUUCAGAUUUGUGGUCCCGAAACUACUAUUCUGAUUAGGGUCAAAACCGGGUUGUUACAUUCAAGCCAUCAUCCUAGCUCCCUGAAAUUGUAGUAGAAUAGGCUUAAUAUAGCAGAUCUCAUCUCCAGUCGAGCAGAUAGAAGAAAACAAGCCUUAACCCCCUAAGUAGUAGGGCAACAGGCCGAAGACUGCAAGAUCUUGUCUCCCUGAAGUUAUAGUAGAGCAGAUCGAAGUCACAAUCCUUAUCUCUCUGAAGUUCCAGUAGAGUAGGAUAAAAACACACGAACCAUGUCUCCCUGAAGUUACAGUGGAGCAUAUUGAAGUUAUUUGAAGAAAAGAAGCACCGAAAAAGUCAUGAUUCAGUGAAACUGGGCAAAAUUGGCCCUUUUUGAAGUCCUUGCUCUAUUCUCGUUACACGACAAUAAGCAAAGAGGGGCAGCUGUAAGCAGGCCAAUUUGCCCAGCCCAUUGCAAACACAAAACAAUAAAUAUAAAACCCAAAUAAAACUUAAAUCCUAUAACAGUCCAUUUACAGGCUUUGACCCAAACAAAUACCCUAUACAAGCCCAAAUCAACCAUUUACAAAUAAGCCCGAGCCCAAAUACAAUAGGCCCAAGUGGCCAAAAUUUAAAGCAAGCAAAAAACCCUAGCCUAAUGCUUGCGCCUCAACCGGACAAUACCUCCGUACGAUGCCAGCGCCUCAACCCCAGCGCCGCUCGUGCCUCCACGUCGACAGCCCCGUAUGCCACCCUCACGCCUAGUGCCAGCACGCGCCCCUACCUGUGAAAGAGAACAAGAGAAUAGCAGCCAGUAGGAGAACAAAAAUUGUUGUUUUUUUUGUUUUGUUAGUCGGCUAUAAAGCCUUUCAUUUUCAAUUGUAAGGGCUCUUCUUUUUUUAUGAACAUAAGCAAUACAAAGUAACAGAAAGAAAAGGUGAUUCCUACUCUUGAGUUUCUGGGUUUAUCACGCUUUAUUCUCGAUCUAUCCCCUUUGAUUUUCUUUCUCUUUUCUUGUAUCUAAAAAUAAAAGAAUAAAGGGAAACAAUACCUUACCUUGUAAGUUAG
Molecule: long non-coding RNA, 26337 nt
Filed under: Gossypium barbadense (sea-island cotton)
Lineage: Eukaryota; Viridiplantae; Streptophyta; Magnoliopsida; Malvales; Malvaceae
Description: long non-coding RNA (GBAR_LNC011877)
Source: RNAcentral